This 606-nucleotide unclassified non-coding RNA is filed under the name Hevea brasiliensis (rubber tree). The record is from RNAcentral. Lineage: Eukaryota; Viridiplantae; Streptophyta; Magnoliopsida; Malpighiales; Euphorbiaceae.
UUUUAAUUCCAUAUAUGGCCGUGCAGAUCAGUCCUGAUGGCAUUGCUAGUAGGGAUGAAAAAGUUUUCAGGUUUGCUCGAGAGAGAAGCAUCCCCCUCAUCAUGCUCACAUCAGGCGGUUACAUGAAAUCGAGUGCCAAAGUUAUUGCUGAUUCCAUCGUAAAUCUCUCUAGUAAAUCCCUGAUAGAUAUGAAGAGCUAGCUUACUAACUGGGCAAGCAUGUCUUUGCAUAGCUACUUAAAAAGGCCUGAAAUUGACCUAUGUGGUAAAGUCGAGAUUGCUCAUUUGUGUUGUAAGGAAAUAGAUUAACUUCCCUUGAUAGUGAAUGCUUGUAUGGGAUUCUAGAGAUGGGAAAAGCAGAGGCGAACUUGUGAAGAUUUGUGUGCCUUAAUGCAUUUAGGCUAGAAUGUAAAUUGUGUAAGUGCUAGUUCAUGUUCAUGUAGCUUGAAAUCAUUGAUACGUCAGGAUAUGGUCUCUGCUGUCAUGGAUUGUGAUGCAGGAAGGAGCAUAAUUUAACGUUAUGGCUCAAUCUUGGCAAUAGAUUGGAACCUGUUUGUACGUUGUUGUGCUUAUGUUGAUUAUCUAGAGAGUUGUGCAAUCAAGUUCU